This 710-nucleotide long non-coding RNA is filed under the name Salvia miltiorrhiza (redroot sage). RNAcentral describes it as "long non-coding RNA (SMIL_LNC006385)". The record is from RNAcentral. Lineage: Eukaryota; Viridiplantae; Streptophyta; Magnoliopsida; Lamiales; Lamiaceae.
CCAAUUGAAGGAAAUGAGCAAGAUACCUCACGUGCACGAGCCAAACUCUCAGACUGGGCCUUUCAGUAGGACUGAACUUAUUUGUCGUUGCUGCAGUGCACCUCCUGUAGAAAUCUUGCUAGCAGACACCAUUACAUUUUGAAUUUCUUCUAGCAACCCCAGAGUUGCGACCUUCAGUGAACAAGAAAUCUCUUUUCAUAAUAACUUCCCUUAAACAAUCAUCAUAUACCUUCUUUGGCCACCAACUUUGGAAACUAACUUUCAUAAAAUUCUGUCAGUUCUCUUUCAUAGCACCUCCGAAUGCGUGAGCCUAGUUCUCACACUCGGCCUUUGAGUUCAGAACUAGGCUUAUUAUUGUUAUAGUAGCUCCUGUACAAUUCUCACUAGCAGACACCAUUACAUUUCAAAUUUCUUCCGGCAUCCAGGAGUUCCAUCCAUCAAUGAACUGAAAAUGUCUAACUCUUAAUAACUUCCCUCGUCAAAUUCAUCAAUCAUCAUACACCUUCUUUGACCAUCAACUUUAGCAAACUAGUAAUAUUUAAAAAUAUUUGUCAGUUUUUCAUUCAUAACACUUCCUCCCACGUAGNCUUAUUUGUCGUUGCUGCAGUGCACCUCCUGUAGAAAUCUUGCUAGCAGACACCAUUACAUUUUGAAUUUCUUCUAGCAACCCCAGAGUUGCGACCUUCAGUGAACAAGAAAUCUCUUUUCAU